UCAGACCUCUAAUCGGAAAAGACUACCCGCUGAGUUUAA
RNAcentral lists this ribosomal RNA (39 nucleotides) under Pseudoleskeopsis zippelii. RNAcentral's name for it is "partial 26S ribosomal RNA". Lineage: Eukaryota; Viridiplantae; Streptophyta; Bryopsida; Hypnales; Leskeaceae. The record is from RNAcentral.